RNAcentral lists this ribosomal RNA (303 nucleotides) under uncultured bacterium. Its description in RNAcentral is "partial 16S ribosomal RNA". It matches the Rfam family "Bacterial small subunit ribosomal RNA", at positions 507 to 807 of the family's 1533-position model. The record is from RNAcentral.
AGCAGUAGCCGCGGGAAUACGUAGGGUGCAAGCGUUAAUCGGAAUUACUGGGCGUAAAGCGUGCGCAGGCGGUUAUAUAAGACAGAUGUGAAAUCCCCGGGCUCAACCUGGGAACUGCAUUUGUGACUGUAUAGCUAAAGUACGGCAGAGGGGGAUGGAAUUCCGCGUGUAGCAGUGAAAUGCGUAGAUAUGCGGAGGAACACCGAUGGCGAAGGCAAUCCCCUGGGCCUGUACUGACGCUCAUGCACGAAAGCGUGGGGAGCAAACAGGAUUAGAGACCCCUGUAGUCCCUGUCUCUUAUAC